RNAcentral lists this microRNA precursor (84 nucleotides) under Bombyx mori (domestic silkworm). RNAcentral describes it as "mir-2807 microRNA precursor family". It matches the Rfam family "mir-2807 microRNA precursor family". Lineage: Eukaryota; Metazoa; Arthropoda; Insecta; Lepidoptera; Bombycidae. The record is from Rfam by way of RNAcentral.
UUAACUCAAAUUUGUAUGCAGUUGGAACAACGCCCCUAGCGGCAAACGUAGGCAAAGUUUCCAACUCCAUACAAACUUAAGUUA